Long non-coding RNA from Ctenopharyngodon idella (grass carp), 3092 nucleotides. RefSeq lists it as uncharacterized. The transcript is spliced from 2 exons. The record is from RefSeq and is a predicted model, not a curated record. NCBI's taxonomy places the organism in Eukaryota, Metazoa, Chordata, Actinopteri, Cypriniformes, Xenocyprididae.
AAACAACGGAGCCCAUACAUCACAACACCAGGCCUUUGAGUGCAUCACUGGCUAACGAUCCAAUGCAACAGCCCAACAAGUUCAACUGACUGAUGAUCCACACAGAACACAGAAGGACUUCCAUUCCCUCCAUUGUGGGCAGGUACCAGUCCAGCCUACUGUACAUCUUAAUGAAAGAAAAGGAAGUUCAUUCACAGAAGUGGGAGUUUGACUCACUAAUCAGUUAAAACUUGCUGGGUUUGGCAUAGUGAGGGCUAUUACAUUAACCAACUGGGAUAAAGCAUAAAUAGAUUUUUGACUAUGCAGAGUUUUCUGGCAAAAAGGGAAAUAGGGCACAAGGUGUCCAAAGAAAAAAUUAUUGCCAGAAAAGCAACAAUAUUGGUCACUCCAUUUCGUUAAAAGGUAAUUUUCUAGAUUUAAUAAGAAUAAUCACUCUAAGAUUCCAAAUUUUUGAAAUCACAAAUGCUGUCAUCACCAGGGAUAUGAGAUGGGAAUGUUAUUUGUCCAUGGAUCCAAGAUUGUGUGGAGAUCUCCAAUCUUCUUCUAAGUAGCUCAUGAGUAACAACAAAAGGUUUGAAAACUGUAAUUGCACAAUAAAUGACAAAUUGCAUUUGAGAAAUUGAAAUUGGCUCCCUCAACUGCAGGCCUAGGUCUAUAUGAUUAUUGUAAACUAUUUAAUCUAUUUUACCCAAGGUGACUGACAUCGGACAAUUGAUAAUUAAUGUCCUAACGUUUAGACACUGUUGGAAGGGGAAUGCCACAGUGUGUCUACGUUUAGUAGCUUCUACCGUCGUCAAAAUUGUGUUACCCGUUCAGAUUUGGUGGUAUUCCACUCCUAACAAUACAUUCCCCAUUUAGUUCACAAUCUGCUGAGGCAGACAAAAAAACAAAAAAAAAAAGGUAUGUUGCUCUGGCCAGAGACGACUUCACCAAUAAGGACCAGUUGAGGUGUGGUUGUGAUCUUAAGGAAAAAUCUUGCAAUGAUCAGCAAAAUGGCUGGAGAGUGUGACACCUGGCAUCUGAUCCAAGCAUCUGAUCUUAAACUACACCAACCAGCCUCAGAAACCCCACACAGCAUAAAGUGAGGUAUCAAAGGUGCGUGCUGGUAACGCCCUCCCUCGCCAACGAGGGAAAGCCCAUUGCAACGGCUCGCAAAGAGUCACCCUGGUGAAGAUGGAAUGUCCAUGAGACGAACAAGAUGAUCAACACACCUGGAAGAAGAUGUGGACCAACUAAUGAUUAGCAGAAGAAAGUUUAGCAGAAGAAUCCAUUUGUGUGAUGAUGUUUUUUGAUGAUUUUAUUUGAUUCAUUUAAACUAUAGGGCUGAGUAUUGAUAUAGAUGAUUUGAUAAGUUACUGAUCCAUUUGAAAAUAUUUCAGGUAAAUAUAAAUCAAAAAGAGGAAAAUCUCUUAAUGCAGUAGACUAUAGGGACUAGGUACAUUAUUAUAAAAAUAUUAAAUAAUAGGGACUAUUAUUGAAGAAACCUGAGGGUUUUAAAAUCCUAAUGCAGACAUUACAACCAUAGAUGCUACAAAUUUUUAAUAGUUGCAAUAGUUUUUCUCUAAAUAAGUGAGAAUGUAUGAUAAGUCGCUUCGCCAGACUAGGUCCAAAUAUAGACCCUUUUCACAUUUAAACUUCUAUAGCGGUGAAUGAGAGACUACAUUAAAUACAUAUAUUUUUUGUUCCCAUUUGCUCCAAUAGCAAAGGAAAAACUCUGCAAUAGUGUUUUCAGAACUAAAUUUAAAAACUUUAAAGAAAAUGAGAGACUGAUAACAGCAGUCAAAAGAGAGAAAGAUGUCAAUUUUUCCCAACAUUUGACCAUAGCCACUGUAUUAGAAACACCCUCACAGCAGUGUUAACCAGUUCUCUUUUUUUGUAAUCUGAUGCAAAGAUAAAAUAAUACUGAGUAUUCUUAUAAUUGUAAAAACAUUGCAGGAUUUACGAUGCUGAUGACCGUUAAACCACAUCAUCACAGUCUGUGAAAAAGCUAUGAAUAUUCUCGUUCAAUCUGAUUAAAGCUCGCAAUACAGGGCAAAAAGAAAAUCUGACUAAUCCUGUAAAUCUGUGAAAUAAUGAUUAUAGAAAAGACACCCAGUGUUUAUAGGAAAUUUUUUAAAGUAGUGAAAUCAUAAUAUGACUUGCAAAGUGACACAGGAGAUUGAUUUGUAAGGGAAACACAUUUUAUUUCUAGAUUAUUAUUAUUUAAAUGGCAUAACCAAAUUCCUGACAUAUUGAUAAAGAUUUUAAUGUUUUAUUAAAAUUCAGAGAAUGAAUUAAAACAAGUUAUGUAGGGUUCACAAAACUAAAACCUAGACCAAGCAAAAUGUGACCCAAACAUGUUAAACCAAAUGAAUCUGAACAGUUUGGACAUCCCAGCAAAAUAGAGUAAUUCAAACAGGAAAAGUUUGAAAAGCUUUCUUGAACUCGCAAUGUGUUUACCGAGUCGAUGAUCUGGAUCAGUGGAUCCACUAUGAACUAUUCUGCUUUGCAGAAAUUACAUAAACUGACUGUGAGUUAGUUUAAAAUAGAGGUAGUAUAUGUCAUGCCCAUCAGUUGACUCUGGAAAAUAGGAUUGUAGGGAGGUCGAUAAAGAUUUAAUUCCAUGUCAACAGCUAAGGCUAUUCUUAUGACAAGAGCUGGGUUAUACAGAGUUCAUUUUGAAGCAAUGCAAAAUUAGACAAGAUAUUUGUGUUAAUGAUAAAAAUGAUAUUAUUUAAAGACCCUCUGUGGUGAAAAUUAAGUUCUUAAUGUUGUUUAUAUGUCUAUAUGGUGUUUUUUUUUUUUUAAUAUGCUCUCAGACAAUGUGCAGAUUCAUAAGUCAACACCAUUGGUAGUAUUUUCACCUUAAAAGUCCAGUGAACCAAAGACAGUUGCAAAAAAAAAAAAAGCGGUUUGAAAUCCUGGUGUUUCUGACAUCACAAACUACCUUGUAACUGGUGUGUGGGCAGGUUUUAGCAUAUCAUUACUAUGCUGCAAACAGGGGUGUCUCAAGAGAAACCAUGCCUGUACAUAUUAAACAGAAAAUACAAACUUUGCUAAAAUGAUUGUUUUGAAAAUAUUAACACAGACAUUAUUAAAAACAUAUUAUUUUA